This 496-nucleotide ribosomal RNA is filed under the name uncultured bacterium. Its description in RNAcentral is "bacterial SSU rRNA". It matches the Rfam family "Bacterial small subunit ribosomal RNA", at positions 38 to 518 of the family's 1533-position model. The record is from RNAcentral.
GGCGGCGCGUUUAAGCAUGCAAGUCGAACGGCAAGCACUGUAGCAAUAUGGUGCUGAGAGUGGCGAACGGGUGAGUAACACGUAGGUGAUCUACCCUCGGGUGGGGGGAUAGUCCGUGGAAACACGGGGUAAUACCGCAUGAGGCCUUGUGGAUAGAGCCAUGAGGUGAAAGGUGCAAUUGCACCGUCUGGGGAUGAGCCUGCGCUCCAUUAGGUAGUUGGCGGGGUAAGAGCCCACCAAGCCUACGAUGGAUAGCCGGCCUGAGAGGGUGUACGGCCACACUGGAACUGAGACACGGUCCAGACUCCUACGGGAGGCAGCAGCUAAGAAUCUUCCGCAAUGGGGGAAACCCUGACGGAGCGACGCCGCGUGGAACGAUGGAGGCCGUAAGGUUGUAAAGUCCUUUUGCAGGUGAAGAAUAACUGGGGGAGUGGAAAGCCCCUGGGAUGACGUUAGCCUGCGAAUAAGCCCCGGCUAAUUACGUGCCAGCCGCAGC